Molecule: ribosomal RNA, 327 nt
Filed under: uncultured eukaryote
Lineage: Eukaryota
Description: partial 18S ribosomal RNA
Rfam family: Eukaryotic small subunit ribosomal RNA
Source: RNAcentral
CCCUUAGAUGUUCUGGGCCGCACGCGCGCUACACUGACGAAUGCAACGAGCUUAUAACCUUGGCCGAAAGGUCUGGGUAAUCUCCAAAUUUCGUCGUGAUGGGGAUAGAUUAUUGCAAUUAUUAAUCUUCAACGAGGAAUGCCUAGUAAGCGCAAGUCAUCAGCUUGCGUUGAUUACGUCCCUGCCCUUGGUACACACCGCCCGUCGCUCCUACCGAUUGAAUGGUCCGGUGAAGCGUUCGGACCGUGGCCUUUGGACGGUUCGCCGUCUGUUGGCUGCGGGAAGUUCGUUAAACCUUAUCAUUUAGAGGAAGGAGAAGUCGUAACA